Molecule: long non-coding RNA, 4467 nt
Filed under: Sarcophilus harrisii (Tasmanian devil)
Lineage: Eukaryota; Metazoa; Chordata; Mammalia; Dasyuromorphia; Dasyuridae
Description: lncRNA (ENSSHAG00000029501.1)
Source: RNAcentral
AUGCCUACUGUUUUUGCAGUUGUCAUGUGUAAUUGUGGGAGAAUGCACCCCAGAUUUAUAGAAGGAUUUUUUUGGCAACAACUGCAGUUACUGUGUCAUUUUAAGACGUUUGAAGUGAGAGCUAAAUACACAUCCCAAAUCAAAGAUCUGAGAAUGGGUAGUGGAGAGGAGAAACCUACAUAGACUCAUGAUGUUCCUCUCCCCGGCCUCAGCUAUUAAUAGUAGCUUUAAGGCAGAGGUAAAAUGAAAUUUCUCAUGUGCUCAUGUCACUGAAAGAUUCUGAGAAGCAGCAAUAGGUCUUUUGUUGUAGGAAAGUUCUUGGAUUUUCAAUUAGAUCAUUCUUGGAAAGACAAUACAACUUCUAUACUAUCUCAAGGUGUGAAUAAGUGGGUUCCAAGUUCCUAUUUAAACUCAUAAGUUAUAAAUGCAUAUUAAGUAUAAGAAGCCUUUAUUUCAUUCCACAAAAUAUUUCAAAAUAAAGGACUUUUAGAAAUCCAUGAAAAGCUGAUAUAAUUCUCUUCCUCUUUCUGUUAUUUUUUGUCUUCCCCUUAGGAACCUAUAAUCUCUCAUUGAAGUGGUAGCCAUUGAAGUGUUAGCUAUGGAAAGAUGAAUCAAUUGACUAAAUGAUGAGAGUUUAUUUCUGCCUUCUAAAAAGAGUCAAACUAAGGCAUUGUUGAUGGAAUUGUGAACUAAUUCAAAUAUUCUGGAAAACAAUUUGGAACUGUACCCACAGAGCUAUAAAACUGUGCAUACCCUUUGAUCUAACAAUAAAAUUAUCCCAAAGAGAUCAUAAAAAAGGGGAAAGGACCACAUGUAUGAAAAUCUUUUUUAAAAAAAUUUUAAAAUUAUUUUUAUAAUAGAAUUUUAUUAUUCAAAAGAUAGUUUUCAAAAUUCACCCUUGACAAACCUUGUGUUUCAUAUUUUUCUCCCUCCCUCCUUACCUCUCCCCUCCCCCAGACAGCAAGUAAUUAAAGAUGUUAAACAUGUGCAAUUCUUCUAAAUAUAUUUCCACAUUUAUCAUGCUGUGCAAGAAAAACCAGAUCAAAAAGGGGGAAAAAAUGAGGAAAAAAGCAAGCAAACAAUGAAAAAGAUAAAAAUACUAAGUUGUGAUUCACAUUCAGUCCCCAGAGUCCUCUCUCUGGAUCCAGAUGGCUCUGUCCAUCACAAGUCUAUUGGAAUUAGCCUGAGUCACCUCAUUGUGUAAAAAAACAAUAUUUAUUGCAACUCUUUUUGUGGUGGUAAAGAAUUGGAAAUUGAGGGGAUGCCCAUCAAUUGGGCGAAUGGCAGAACAAGAUAUGGUUUAUGCAUGUAUUGGAAUACUAUUGUUUUAUUAAAAAUGAUGAGCAGGCUGAUUUCAGAAAAAUCUGAAAAGACAUGAACUGAUGCUGAGUGAAGUGAGCAGAAUGAGGAGAACAUUGUACACAAUAAUAGCAACAUUGAGUGAUGAUCAACUCUGAUGACUUUAAUUCUUCUCAAUUGUACAGUGAUCCAGCACAAUUCCGAAAGAUGUGAUGAAAAGUGCCAUCUACAUCUAUAAAAAGAACUAUGGAGAUUAGAUACAGAUUUGUGCAGACCGUGUAUUUUUAAAUCAGCAGGAGGCAGGAAUUCAGGUUAGGGGAAAAUCAUCAGUCUUUAUUCUCAGUGAAGAAGGAUCAGAGGUGGAAGAGAAUCGGCGAUAGCAAUGUGUGCAGCUGAGUCAAGAAGCUAGCUAGACCAGCAGCCACACGACCAGCAGCUAGGAGUCUCGAACCCAGGCCCAAUCUCUCCCAGCUUCUCUUCCUGUCUCUCUCUGCCUCCACCCACCAAAAUCGUCAUUUCCUAUACAACACAUCAGGACUUGCACGGAGAGUGGGCAGGGACCAUUCUUUAUCCAAUCAUGUAUAUUAAUAGAGUAUAGCCCAAUUACUAUUUAGCCUCACAUACUUGGGACCUCAGUGCAUCAACUCAAACCUCAGCCCAUUACAUCUCCCGCUUUCUUUUAUUUUAGAACACAGGUGGUCAUGCCAUCCCUGACUCCUCAGGGAAAUCAGAGCCCCCAAGGGGAGGUGAUCACAGCCUCCCUAACUUCUCAGGGAAGGCAGUGAAAGCACUAAAAAGGAGAUGAUCAUGCCCUCCCUGACAUCUCAGGAAGGGAGAUGAAAAGCACCAAAGGGAAGUGGGGGUUGCUAGCGGGUUUCUGGGCUGAAGGGUCUUAUUAUGCACAAACCCAUCAGCAUGGGAGGUAUUACACAAGCACAUAGCAAUAACGCAGAGGCUAUUAGGGAUGACUCUCCCCACAGUCAGUGCAGGCUCGAUGUGGUGUAACAAACAUGAAUUGUACAUGCAAGUAGCAGAAUAGCAAACAAUAUAAAUCAACAUGGUGUUGGAAAAGAUCACCAGAAGUCCUAGAAGGAGGGUAUGUAAACAACAGUCACACAUACACCUUCUUCAGCAGCCAAGAGAUAGUCCAAAACCAAUCUAUUGUCCAUUGCUUCACAUGUCAGGGAAUCCAAUGAUCCCCCUGAGUUUUUGAAGUCCUGCAAAAGUCUUUUUAUGUGUUAGGGAAUCCAAUGAUUCCAGCAGAUUUUGAAGUCCUGUAACAGUCUUAUCAUUUCUCAGAGAAUCCAAUGAUUCCUGAGAGUUUUCAAGUCCUAUGUCUCAGAGAAUCCAAUGAUUCCUGAGGGUUUUCAAGUCCUAUGUCUCAGAGAAUCCAAUGAUUCCUGAGGGUUUUCAAGUCCUAUGUCUCAGAGAAUCCAAUGAUUCCUGAGGGUUUUGAAGUCCAACAAUCUUUGAUGUCCAUGAGUCAAACGCCAUAACUGCCACGCUCUUUCAAUGGUGAGCACAAUCAGCAACAGAACCACCCGAUAUUUCUUGGGUCUUCUCCUUUGUUUCAAGGGUCUGCUCUGUCUCUCUGCAAUGGACAAGGCGAAUAUGGCUCGUUGGCACCCAUCUGAUUCCUUCUCCACCUGUAGAGAUACAAGCAAACCCUCUCCCCAAAGCAGUUAGCCUAUCUGGUCCUUUCCAUUCACCACUUUCUGGGUCUCUCCACAUCACCUGGCGAUUAUCUAAAGAUAGUGGAGCUGCUCGCACUGGACACUGCCCUUCCAGUGGGUUAUAAAACCUGUCUGCUGGAGCCAGUGCAUCUUUGUCAAAAAUCAAGAAGUUAAUAGUAUAAAGGGCUAGAUUUAGAAGUUCUCUAGGGUUACCUGUGGCUCCCCCUUUCUUUUGUUUUUGGAGGAGCGUCUUAAUAUCUCUGUUUCUCCUCUCUACUAUUGCCUGUCCUUGAGGAUUAAAAGGUAUGCCCGUGGUGUGUAAAAUCUUAUACUGUGCACAAAAGUGUGCAAAAUGUUUUGAAGUAUAAGCAGGACCAUUGUCUGUUUUUAUUGCUUGUGGCACACCCAUAAUGGCAAAUGCUUGUGUGAGGAAUUCAGUGACCACUCGGGCUGUCUCUUUUGCUGCUGGUAUUGCAAAAGUGAAUCCCGAAAAGGUGUCUACCACAACGUGGAUGAAAGACAGACGACCAAAAGAUUUAUAAUGGGUCACAUCCAUUUGCCAGAUUUCAUUGGGUCUCAAACCACGAGGGUUCUUCCCUGGAGGCAGUGUAGGAGCGUGGAAAGGAAGGCAAGCUGUACAGGCUUUUACUAUGCUCCUAGCUUCCUCUCUUGUUAUUCCAAAUUGUAAACGUAAAGCUCGAGCAGCCUGAUGAUAUUUAGAAUGAGAUGCCUGGGCUUCCUGGAAUAAAGGGGUAUUGACCAACAUAGUUAGAAGGCUAUCUUCCUUUGAAUUGCCAUCAAAUAUGGGACCUGGAAGUCCACUAUGAGAAUGGACAUGUAAUAUAUAGAUCUUACCUGGAUGCUUUCUCACUUGCUCUUGAAGUUUCUUAAAGAGCUGAUAUAUAUUAGAGGCUACAAAUUUUAUUUGGGCUGUGGCAAUUCUUUGUGCGGCACCUACUGAAUAGGCCGAAUCAGAUAUUAUAUUUAUGUCUCCUGGAUAAUAAGUAAGAGCUAGAAUGAUCACGUACAAUUCAUUCUGCUGAGUGGACUGAAAAGGAGUUCUGACUACUCUAUUUAUAGUUAGAUCAUGAGAGUACACAGCACAAAUAUUAUGUUUGGAUGCAGGAUCACCUCCUUUUCGGUGCUUUCACCUCCUUCCCUGAGAAGUUAGGGAGGCUGUGAUCACCUCCCCUUGGGGGCUCUGAUUUCCCUGAGGAGUCAGGGAUGGCAUGACCACCUGUGUUCUAAAAUAAAAGAAAGCGGGAGAUGUAAUGGGCUGAGGUUUGAGUUGAUGCACUGAGGUCCCAAGUACGUGAGGCUAAAUAGUAAUUGGGCUAUACUCUAUUAAUAUACAUGAUUGGAUAAAGAAUGGUACCUGCCCACUCUCCGUGCAAGUCCUGAUGUGUUGUAUAGGAAAUGAUGAUUUUGGUGGGUGGAGGCAGAGAGAGACAGGAAGAGAAGCUGGGAGAGAUUGGGCCUGGGUUCGAGACUCUUA